UGGGGAAUUUUGGACAAUGGGCGAAAGCCUGAUCCAGCAAUGCCGCGUGUGUGAAGAAGGCCUUCGGGUUGUAAAGCACUUUUGUCCGGAAAGAAAUCCUUGGCUCUAAUACAGUCGGGGGAUGACGGUACCGGAAGAAUAAGCACCGGCUAACUACGUGCCAGCAGCCGCGGUAAUACGUAGGGUGCAAGUGUUAAUCGGAAUUACUGGGCGUAAAGCGUGCGCAGGCGGUUUGCUAAGACCGAUGUGAAAUCCCCGGGCUCAACCUGGGAACUGCAUUGGUGACUGGCAGGCUAGAGUAUGGCAGAGGGGGGUAGAAUUCCACGUGUAGCAGUGAAAUGCGUAGAGAUGUGGAGGAAUACCGAUGGCGAAGGCAGCCCCCUGGGCCAAUACUGACGCUCAUGCACGAAAGCGUGGGGAGCAAAACAGGAUUAGAUACCCUGGUAGUCCACGCCCUAAAACGAUGUCAACUAGUUGUUGGGGAUUCAUUUCCUUAGUAACGUAGCUAACGCGUGAAGUUGACCGCCUGGGGAGUACGGUCGCAAGAUUAAAACUUAAAUGAAUUGACGGGGUCAUAGCUGUUUCCU
Molecule: ribosomal RNA, 587 nt
Filed under: uncultured bacterium
Lineage: Bacteria
Description: partial 16S ribosomal RNA
Rfam family: Bacterial small subunit ribosomal RNA
Source: RNAcentral